RNAcentral lists this ribosomal RNA (292 nucleotides) under uncultured Verrucomicrobiota bacterium. Its description in RNAcentral is "uncultured Verrucomicrobia bacterium partial 16S ribosomal RNA". Lineage: Bacteria; Pseudomonadati; Verrucomicrobiota. The record is from RNAcentral.
GGACUACAAGGGUUUCUAAUCCUGUUUGCUCCCCUAGCUUUCGUGCCUCAGUGUCAGGUGUCGUCCAGGGACUCGCCUUCGCCACUGGUGUUCCUCUUGAUAUCUACGCAUUUCACUGCUACACCAAGAAUUCCAGUCCCCCCUCCGAACCUCGAGCCAGAUAGUAUUCAAUGCAGUUUCGGAGUUGAGCUCCGAGAUUUCACAUCAAACUUACCUGGCCACCUACGCACCCUUUACGCCCAGUGAAUCCGAACAACGCUUGGGACCUCUGUAUUACCGCGGCUGCUGGCAC